Molecule: unclassified non-coding RNA, 90 nt
Filed under: Pseudomonas mandelii
Lineage: Bacteria; Pseudomonadati; Pseudomonadota; Gammaproteobacteria; Pseudomonadales; Pseudomonadaceae
Source: RNAcentral
UGUAGGAGUGAGCCUGCUCGCGAUAGCGGUGUGUCAGACACCCUCAAUGUCGACUGACACACCGCUAUCGCGAGCAGGCUCACUCCUACA